This 468-nucleotide ribosomal RNA is filed under the name uncultured bacterium. RNAcentral's name for it is "partial 16S ribosomal RNA". It matches the Rfam family "Bacterial small subunit ribosomal RNA", at positions 28 to 507 of the family's 1533-position model. The record is from RNAcentral.
GACGAACGCUGGCGGCGUGCUUAACACAUGCAAGUCGAACGGAAAGGCCCUGCUUUUGUGGGGUGCUCGAGUGGCGAACGGGUGAGUAACACGUGAGUAACCUGCCCUUGACUUUGGGAUAACUUCAGGAAACUGGGGCUAAUACCGGAUAGGAGCUCCUGCUGCAUGGUGGGGGUUGGAAAGUUUCGGCGGUUGGGGAUGGACUCGCGGCUUAUCAGCUUGUUGGUGGGGUAGUGGCUUACCAAGGCUUUGAAGGGUAGCCGGCCUGAGAGGGUGGCCGGCCACAUUGGGACUGAGAUACGGCCCAGACUCCUACGGGAGGCAGCAGUGGGGAAUCUUGCACAAUGGGCGGAAGCCUGAUGCAGCAACGCCGCGUGCGGGAUGACGGCCUUCGGGUUGUAAACCGCUUUCGCCUGUGACGAAGCGUGAGUGACGGUAAUGGGUAAAGAAGCACCGGCUAACUACGUG